This 464-nucleotide ribosomal RNA is filed under the name Pseudoalteromonas sp. SKA18. Its description in RNAcentral is "bacterial SSU rRNA". It matches the Rfam family "Bacterial small subunit ribosomal RNA", at positions 1 to 467 of the family's 1533-position model. Lineage: Bacteria; Pseudomonadati; Pseudomonadota; Gammaproteobacteria; Alteromonadales; Pseudoalteromonadaceae. The record is from RNAcentral.
UUAGAGGUUUGAUCAUGGCUCAGAUUGAACGCUGGCGGCAGGCCUAACACAUGCAAGUCGAGCGGUAACAGAGAGUAGCUUGCUACUUUGCUGACGAGCGGCGGACGGGUGAGUAAUGCUUGGGAACAUGCCUUGAGGUGGGGGACAACAGUUGGAAACGACUGCUAAUACCGCAUAAUGUCUACGGACCAAAGGGGGCUUCGGCUACUCGCCUUUAGAUUGGCCCAAGUGGGAUUAGCUAGUUGGUGAGGUAAUGGCUCACCAAGGCGACGAUCCCAAGCUGGUUUGAGAGGAUGAUGAUGAGCCACACUGGGACUGAGACACGGCCCAGACUCCUACGGGAGGCAGCAGUGGGGAAUAUUGCACAAUGGGCGCAAGCCUGAUGCAGCCAUGCCGCGUGUGUGAAGAAGGCUUACGGGUUGUAAAGCAUUUACAGUCCAGGAGGAAAGGUUAGUAGUUAAUAC